This 1459-nucleotide ribosomal RNA is filed under the name uncultured Bordetella sp. RNAcentral's name for it is "partial 16S-23S ribosomal RNA intergenic spacer". It matches the Rfam family "Bacterial small subunit ribosomal RNA". Lineage: Bacteria; Pseudomonadati; Pseudomonadota; Betaproteobacteria; Burkholderiales; Alcaligenaceae. The record is from RNAcentral.
AAAAUGAGGUCUGAUCCUGGCUCAGAUUGAACGCUGGCGGAUGCUUUUACACACACAAGUCGAACGGCAGUGACGGACUUCGGUCUGGUGGCGAGUGGCGAACGGGUGAGUAAUGUAUCGGAACGCUUCAGUAGCGGGGAUAACUACGAAAGUUGCAGCGACACUGCAUACGGACUGGGGGAAAGCGGGGACCUUCGGCCUCGCACUAUUAGAGCGCCGAUAUCGGAUUAGCUAGUUGGUGGGGUAACGGCUCACUAAAGGCGACGAUCCGCAGUUGGUUUGAGAGGACGACCAGCCACACUGGGACUGAGACACGGCCCAGACUCCUACGGAGUGCAGCAGUGGGGAAUUUUGACAAUGGGGGAAACCCUGAUCCAGCCAUCCCGUGUGCGAUGAAGGCCUUCGGGUUGUGGUGCCGUCUCUUGGCAGGAAGAAACGGCACGGGAUAAUACCCCGUGCAACUGACGGUACUCUGCAGAAUAAGCACCGGCUAACCAUGCCAGCAGCCGCGGUAAUACGUAGGGUGCAAGCGUUAAUCGGAAUUACUGGGCGUAAAGCGUGCGCAGGCGGUUCGGAAAGAAAGAUGAAAUCCCAGAGCUUAACUUGAACCGCAUUUUUAACUACCGAGUCAGAGUGUGUCAGAGGAGUGGUGGAAUUCCGCGUGUAGCAGUGAAAUGCGUAGAUAUGCGAGUGAACACCGAUGGCGAAGGCAGCCUGAUAACACUGACGCUCGGCGCACGAAAGCGUGGGGAGCAAACAGGAUUAGAUAAUUCUGGUAGUCCACGCCCUAAACGAUGUCAAUUAGUUGUUGGGGCCUUGCCUUGGUAGCGCAGCGACUGGCGUGAAGCUGACCGCCUGGGGAGUACGGUCGCAAGAUUAAAACUCAAAGGAAUUGACGGGACUCGCACAAGCGGUGGAUGAUGUGGAUUAAUUCGAUGCAACGCGAAAACCUUACCUACCCUUGACAUGUCUGGAAUCCCGAAGAGAUUUGGGAGUGUCGCAAGAGAACCGAACACAGGUGCUGCAUGGCUGCCGCCAAAUGGGGCUGCAGAGAGUGCUGGCGAAGUCCCGCAACGAGUGCAAACUUGCUGCUGUUUGCUACCAAAGGCACCUGACGAGCGACCGCUUGUGAUACGAACCUGAGGGCAGACAUGUCGUCCACAGUCCUUCACAGAGAAGCCUCAAGACGCUGUCACUGUUUUUGUCAUGGUCGCCAACCCGGCGAGGGGAGCCAACCGAACCGAUCGGGUCCGAUCGGAACUGCAACUCGACUGCGUGAAGUCGGAAUCGCUAGUAAUCGCGGAUCAGCAUGUGUCGCGGUGAAUACGUUCCCGGGGUCUUGUACACACUGCCCGUCACACCAUGGGGAGUGGGUUUUACCAGAAGUAGUUAGCCUAACCGUAAGGAGGGCGAUUACCACGGUAGGAUUCAUGACUGGGGUGAAGUCGUAACAAGGUAG